GCCAGACUCCUACGGGAGGCAGCAGUGGGGGAUAUUGCACAAUGGGGGGAACCCUGAUGCAGCGACGCCGCGUGGGCGACGAAGCGCUCCGGCGCGUAAAGCCCUGUCAGCAGGGAAGAACAAAGACAGUACCUGGCCAAGAAGCCCCGGCUAACUACGUGCCAGCAGCCGCGGUAAUACGUAGGGGGCAAGCGUUAUCCGGAUUCACUGGGCGUAAAGGGAGCGCAGGCGGCACGGCAAGUCUGGUGUGAAAGCCCGGGGCCCAACCCCGGGACUGCAUUGGAAACUGCCGGGCUGGAGUGCCGGAGGGGCAAGCGGAAUUCCUGGUGUAGCGGUGAAAUGCGCAGAUAUCAGGAAGAACACCGGUGGCGCAGGCGGCUUGCUGGACGGCAACUGACGCUGAGGCUCGAAAGCGUGGGGAGCAAACAGGAUUAGAUACCCCUGUA
RNAcentral lists this ribosomal RNA (446 nucleotides) under uncultured bacterium. RNAcentral's name for it is "bacterial SSU rRNA". It matches the Rfam family "Bacterial small subunit ribosomal RNA", at positions 330 to 792 of the family's 1533-position model. The record is from RNAcentral.